CUGCUUUUGCGGCUGAGGAAAGUCCGGGCUUCGCAGGGCAGGAUGCCGGAUAACGUCCGGUGGAGGCGACUCCAAGGCAAGUGCAACAGAAAUAAACCGCCGGCACUUCGUUGUGCGGAACUACUGCAUCAGCUUUGGCUGACAGGAGUUCCUUUCAGGGUUCGCCCUGAUACGGUAAGGGUGGAAAGGCGGUGUAAGAGACUACCGUGUGACUGGUAACAGCCAUAGCCAUGUAAACCCCAUCCGAAGCAAGACCAUAUGAAAACAACAGGCUUGCCCGGCCUGUUUUCAGGUAGGUCGCUGGAGGCUUUCGGCGACGAAAGUCCAAGAUAGAUGAUUAUUCGUGACAUAACCCGGCUUAUCGUCCUGCUUAUUUU
Molecule: RNase P RNA, 377 nt
Filed under: Lachnospiraceae bacterium
Lineage: Bacteria; Bacillati; Bacillota; Clostridia; Lachnospirales; Lachnospiraceae
Description: partial RNase P RNA component class A
Rfam family: Bacterial RNase P class A
About the family: Ribonuclease P (RNase P) is a ubiquitous endoribonuclease, found in archaea, bacteria and eukarya as well as chloroplasts and mitochondria. Its best characterised activity is the generation of mature 5'-ends of tRNAs by cleaving the 5'-leader elements of precursor-tRNAs. Cellular RNase Ps are ribonucleoproteins.
Source: RNAcentral